UCAUUUUUGUGUUUGGUGCAAUUUUGUUGACAUAAUUGCAUAGUCACAAAAGUGAUG
This 57-nucleotide microRNA precursor is filed under the name Limulus polyphemus (Atlantic horseshoe crab). RNAcentral's name for it is "Lpo-Mir-153-P13_pre stem-loop". Lineage: Eukaryota; Metazoa; Arthropoda; Merostomata; Xiphosura; Limulidae. The record is from RNAcentral.